CCGUUGCGGGCCAGGUGCGGGGGCUGCCAGGGCGGGGGCGUGCGCACGAUGCGGUCGUCUUUCUCCAGCAGCAGCGGGGCGCCCCAGGCGUCCGAGCCCCUGCCCACCCCGGCCUCCCCGGACACGCAGGCCUACCGUGAGUCAAGCUGGGUUUGCUGACUGCCUAUCCUGUGCUGAGCACCUGUUUUCCAUUGGAGCCUCACACCCUCCAGUGAAGCCCAAGGUGGAGCAAGCUGACGCCCCUGGGAUUCUCCUCUGGAGCUUCUGGGUCUAUCUGUUUAGCCUGCACCCCAUGUCCUGUGUCCCCCAUUAGACCGUGAACCGCUCGAAGGCAGCUCUGCGUUCUAAUCCUCUUUGGCCAGCGCACUGAAGCAAUCAGCUACCAGUUACUCAGAAGCCGUUACCGGGUGCCAGUACUGUGCCAAGUGCUCUGUCAAACCCAGACCCAUUCCUGGGCACUGGGACAGCAGGCGCCCGCCCAGGCGGUGUACUCACUUUUGAGGGCUGACAACAACCCGGGAGCUGUCCCAGCCCCUUGAAAGCCUCCACAGCCCCAUGGAUCUUGCCUCUGCUCUGACCUGUCGUCUCUCACUGCCCCACACCGCUGCUCCACCUGGCACCACCACUGGCAGUUCCCAGAACAGAACAUGAGCUGCAGCUCUCAGACUAGUCCUGGGCCAUCAACCACAUUUGGAAGAACUCUAGUCUAAUGAGCUGUGGGAUGUGGGACGCCGCCUCUACAUGGCCUGACGAGUGGUGCCAUGUCCGCGCCCAGGAUCGGAACCCUGGGCCGCCGCAGCGGAGCGCGUGAACUUAACCACUUGGCCAUGGGGCCGGCCCCUAUUAUUAACUUCUUAUGUUAGUAUGAUAGAUUUGCGCAGAGAACACGAUACUGCACCGGAAGAGUGAGGCAGCUUCUAGUUUGUUCUUGGAAGCACUUGCACAGUGACUCUGAGCUGCCAUGUAGACAGUGUGACUUCUCUGAAGCCGCCAUCCUGUGAGGAAGCUCAAACUAGCCCAUGCAGAGAGCCCACACCUUGAGAAAGAGAUGCCCGGCCAGCCCCUGCUUGCUCCAGCUCCUCCCCUCUGACACUGUUCCAGUUCUGGUUACUAUCUGACAACAAAGAAUGAGCUGGAACCACCCAGCCAAGACUUCCCGGAGUUCCUGAUUUAUAGAGUCUGUGGAAGAUGAUAAAACAAUUGUUGUUUUAAGUGAUUAAGUUUUGGGGUGAUUUAUUUCAUAGCAAUAUUUGUCAGAACAUCAAAACAUACUAUAUAUAAAGUUUCAAUAAUUAAAACAAUAUAGUACCAGCACACAAAUAGACCAAUAGAAGAGAAAAUCCAAAAAUGGACCCAAAUACAUAAAGAAUUUAGCAUACAUAAAAAGUGGCAUCUCAAGUCAGUUGGUCUUUUUAAUAAAUGGUGUUGCAACAACUGGGUACCUAUCUCCAAAAAAUAAAGUUGGAUCUAUACUUUACAUCAUAUAUCAAAAUAAACUCCAAAUGGACCAAAGAUUUAAACAUAAAAAAUCAAACCUAUGAAAGAACUAGAAGAACACGUGGAUGAAUUCCCUCAUAACUGUGGAUUGGGUAAGGUUUCUAACUAAGCCUCAAAAUCCAUAGACUUUAAACGAAAAGAUUAAUCAAAUUUACUACAUAUAAAAAUCCUUACCUAACAUAUGAUCUAUCUUGGAAAAUGUUCCAUGUGCACUUGAGAAGAAUGUGUAUUCUGUUGCUUUUGGAUGGAAUGUUCUAUAAAUAUCCGUUAAGUCCAUCUGGUCUGAUGUGUCAUUUGAGGCCAAUAUUUCCUUGCUGGUUUUCUGUCUGGGUGAUCUAUCCAUUGAUGUAAGUAGAGUAUUCAAGUCCCCUGCUAUUAUUGUAUUGUUGUCUAU
Long non-coding RNA from Equus caballus (horse), 1891 nucleotides. RefSeq lists it as uncharacterized. The record is from RefSeq and is a predicted model, not a curated record. NCBI's taxonomy places the organism in Eukaryota, Metazoa, Chordata, Mammalia, Perissodactyla, Equidae.